This 253-nucleotide ribosomal RNA is filed under the name uncultured bacterium. RNAcentral's name for it is "partial 16S ribosomal RNA". It matches the Rfam family "Bacterial small subunit ribosomal RNA", at positions 524 to 776 of the family's 1533-position model. The record is from RNAcentral.
UACAGAGGGUGCGAGCGUUAAUCGGAAUUACUGGGCGUAAAGGGCGCGUAGGCGGCGCGGUAAGUCACUUGUGAAAUCUCUGAGCUUAACUCAGAACGGCCAAGUGAUACUGCAGUGCUAGAGUGCAGAAGGGGCAAUCGGAAUUCUUGGUGUAGCGGUGAAAUGCGUAGAUAUCAAGAGGAACACCUGAGGUGAAGACGGGUUGCUAGGCUGACACUGACGCUGAGGCGCGAAAGCUAGGGGAGCAAACGGG